This 458-nucleotide ribosomal RNA is filed under the name uncultured Desulfobulbaceae bacterium. RNAcentral's name for it is "bacterial SSU rRNA". It matches the Rfam family "Bacterial small subunit ribosomal RNA", at positions 346 to 795 of the family's 1533-position model. The record is from RNAcentral. Lineage: Bacteria; Pseudomonadati; Thermodesulfobacteriota; Desulfobulbia; Desulfobulbales; Desulfobulbaceae.
CGGCUGCAGUGAGGAAUAUUGCGCAAUGGGGGAAACCCUGACGCAGCGACGCCGCGUGGAUGAUGAAGGCUUUCGGGUCGUAAAAUCCUGUCAGAUGGGAAGAAAUGUAUAUUGGCUAAUACCCUUUAUAUUUGACGGUACCAUCAAAGGAAGCACCGGCUAACUCCGUGCCAGCAGCCGCGGUAAUACGGAGGGUGCAAGCGUUGUUCGGAAUUACUGGGCGUAAAGCGCGCGUAGGCGGUUUGUUAAGUCAGAUGUGAAAGUCCACGGCUCAACCAUGGAAGUGCAUUUGAUACUGGCAGACUUGAGUACUGGAGGGGGUGGUGGAAUUCCCGGUGUAGAGGUGAAAUUCGUAGAUAUCGGGAGGAAUACCGGUGGCGAAGGCGACCACCUGGCCAGAUACUGACGCUGAGGUGCGAAAGCGUGGGGAGCAAACAGGAUUAGAUACCCGUGUAGUC